CAUCUUAUACGCGUCUGAGUUGUGACCCUGGUUUCUUUCUUUCCCACAAAAAGUUUCUUUCUUUCCCACAAAAUCAACACAUCCCCCAGAUUAUUUCUUUGUCUCAAAACCAAAAACUUCUCACAAAAUCUGCCAGAGAAAGAGGUUACGGUGCAGAGGAGAGAGAGAGAUUGAGGCGGUGGCGGAGGUGGUGGCGGAGACACGCCGGCCUUCUUCCUCAGCUUGCUAGGGUUCUGCUACUGCGUUCAUAACCCCCUAUUAUUCGACAGUUAUUACAUUAACAUGUUCUCCCGUUUUAAAACAGUUGGUGGUCCGCGGUGGUUCACGGUGGAGCUUAGGUUUCCACCAAUCGUCUCUCUUCUAUGGUCAAGACGGGUGAAUCUGAUGCAUCGAAUCGAGUUUUUAAAAUGUGAAUGCUUGCUUCACAGUCAUCGUUAUGCCUAAGAUUGUUGUUUCAUAUGGUAUCGUGGUGUUGAGGUGUAUGUUUCCUCUUUCUCAAAUCUAAUUUUACAUUUACAAUUUUCCCCUAAUUUAUCAUUGUUUUGUAUUCUAGGGUUUAUGUUUCAGGUUAUUACAUUUAAUAAAGGAGAGAAUCAAAUUAAGGCCGUAUAGUGGAAUGGUCAACGUUGACUUUGGAAAAGGAAUUGGGAAAAAAGAUGUGUAUCUAUUGAAUUUCAUCCUUCAUAUCUAUCCAUCUGUUAGUGCUCGGUUUGGAACUGCUCCGUUUUUUUCUGGAACUGGGCAAUGGAUGCAAUGACACAUUUUCUUCCUUCUGUUGAUUUAGAGUGUUCAGGUGGACGGCAAACAAUUGGUGUUUUCAGUCAUAAAAGACUCUCUAUAUCAGUUGGUUACUCAAAAGCUACAUUUGCUCUUGCUGUUCUUGAGGGCAAUACACAACCGAGCGUGUGGUUUCCAGAAGAGGAUUUUUCUAGUGAAAAUUACAGAUAAAUUGAGAUCAUCUUGCAUUGUUUUCUUGAGAUCAUGAACGGGUUGGAUGCUAGCACUCGAAGACGGUUUGAAAAUACGCAACCGGUCCUAGUGUUGAUCGAGUCUUGUUACGAGGAGAAUGAUUGUAUUUUGCUUAUGAAGACGGGAAUGAUACAAGUUAUCAUGUCAAUGCUAGGGUGGGGUGCUUGCUAAAACUUAGAAUAAAAGUUAUGGUAACUUUGUAUUGUAUCUCACUCAUAUCUUUGGUAGCUUAGAAUAAUAUAAAUUCAUAAAAUGUUUCUGUGAAAUAUAAGUAACUGAAACUUUCAAUA
Molecule: long non-coding RNA, 1259 nt
Organism: Helianthus annuus (common sunflower)
Lineage: Eukaryota; Viridiplantae; Streptophyta; Magnoliopsida; Asterales; Asteraceae
Exons: 6
Source: RefSeq, a predicted model, not a curated record